RNAcentral lists this ribosomal RNA (460 nucleotides) under uncultured bacterium. Its description in RNAcentral is "partial 16S ribosomal RNA". It matches the Rfam family "Bacterial small subunit ribosomal RNA", at positions 338 to 795 of the family's 1533-position model. The record is from RNAcentral.
CCUACGGGAGGCAGCAGUGAGGAAUAUUGGUCAAUGGACGAGAGUCUGAACCAGCCAAGUAGCGUGAAGGAUGACUGCCCUAUGGGUUGUAAACUUCUUUUAUAUGGGAAUAAAAUGUUCCACGUGUGGGAUUUUGUAUGUACCAUAUGAAUAAGGAUCGGCUAACUCCGUGCCAGCAGCCGCGGUAAUACUGAGGAUCCGAGCGUUAUCCGGAUUUAUUGGGUUUAAAGGGAGCGUAGGUGGAUUGUUAAGUCAGUUGUGAAAGUUUGCGGCUCAACCGUAAAAUUGCAGUUGAAACUGGCAGUCUUGAGUACAGUAGAGGUGGGCGGAAGUCGUGGUGUAGCGGUGAAAUGCUUAGAUAUCACGAAGAACUCCGAUUGCGAAGGCAGUUCACUGGACUGCAACUGACACUGAGGCUCGAAAGUGUGGGUAUCAAACAGGAUUAGAUACCCCUGUAGUC